This is a long non-coding RNA of Camellia sinensis, 769 nucleotides long. RefSeq lists it as uncharacterized. Lineage: Eukaryota; Viridiplantae; Streptophyta; Magnoliopsida; Ericales; Theaceae. The record is from RefSeq and is a predicted model, not a curated record.
AAAUUUAAGGGAAGCGAAUAUUGGCCCUCUCGCCCCUCUUUCAAACAAACACAAGAUCUAUGUUCUCUCUCACAUACAUAGAGCUCUCUCACACACAUAACAGUCACCAGCAAACCUCACCCCCGCUCACCACUGGCGCUCACCACUGCUAUUGCCGCAAAUCACAGGCUGUGGAAUGAAUCUAAGAGGUGAUGACCCUGCUACGAUGAAAUAUUUUGAUCUGAGUGUGCAGAAUAGGGCAAAUGAGUUAAAGGCCUCUUCUACAAAUGGCCAAGCAAAUACAAGUAGCAAAAAGUAUUGCCUAUAGUACCACUUCAAGAAGAUGAUGAAACAAGUAGAAGAUGGAAAAAAAAACAAGGAAGGCAAAACAAGUACAACUCAGUCAUCUGAAUGACAUGGUUUUAUGGCUCACAACCCUCUUGUAGGGUUCAGAUGGUCAUCCUACUAUUUGAUGACUUUUGACAUGGACAUGUAGAUCUUCCAUUUUUGUGUACGGAAGAUUAUUUACACUUUUUCAUAAUCUCGCUUUUUAGUCGUCCUCUAUUUUUUUGUGUGAAUUUGUAUUAAUCGUACAUAUAACUUUUGGCGGGGUACAGAAUACUUUUGACAUCGAACAAAUAUUUAUUGCCGUGGUAUAUAGAUUACCUAAUGGUAAUUUGUACCAUGCCAAAUGGCCAUUUUGCAUAGUUGUAAAUAAAUUUGUGUACGGAGAACAUGGUUUUUGUAUGAUUAUUUGUUCUGUAUGAAAUUAUUAUUUUCAGUUGGAAUA